GAAUUUGAAGCCAGGAAAUGUGGCUCCAGAAUCCAUGCACCUGAUCACUGCCUGAUACCACCUUUGAUAAGGAGCCCUUCCUGUUCCUUUACUGACUUACUUCUACUCACACUUCAGAGUUCAGUUGUGUCUUAUCUUCAAUAAGUGAAGAUAAGAGCACAGAACGUAUCCUGGAUUACAGUAACUCAACUACGUAAAGUGCUGACAGCCAGUUGGUCCAAUAACUGAGUCUUUACUACAACUAAUUGGACAUUCAACAGUCAAAAAAGGAUAUCCACUUAGCACCACAGGACACCUGAAUGACCUGUGCUGCUAUACAUCAGAAGGUGGACAGACUUCCCCCCAGGAGGAGGUGGAGAUAGGUGAAAAGUCUCUGACCCCCGGACAGCCUACUACCUGCAAGUGACUCUCUACUGGCUGACUCGCUCAUAGCAUCACCACAGCACUGAGGGCAGGCGUGUGCAUGCACUGGUGGCAUGACUGUGGAAACAGCUGAUGGGAGACCCCACAGGGCCACUGCAAUCAUGAGGAGGGGCCCAGGCUCGGUCAGGAAGAGCUGAC
RNAcentral lists this long non-coding RNA (561 nucleotides) under Equus caballus (horse). RNAcentral's name for it is "lncRNA (ENSECAG00000052344.1)". Lineage: Eukaryota; Metazoa; Chordata; Mammalia; Perissodactyla; Equidae. The record is from RNAcentral.